UUGUGCAAUCUAUAGUUUAAUUUUUAUAAAAUAUUAUCUAAAAUUUGAUAUAAAAAAUAUCUAAUAGUUAAACAUACAAAAUGAAUGCAUGAAAUACAAUAUUAUAAUAUUAAAAAAAAAUACAAAAUGAAUACAUGAAAUACGAUAUUAUAAUAAUAAAAAAAUUAGGAAAAGCAACUCGGCGAGGUAGUGAAAAAGAGAGAAAGAGAGCAAUUAGAGUAGGAUUUUGCCUGUUUGGUUUUGUGAGUCCAAUAAUCUAAAUUCUAUAUACAUAUAAUUAAAAUACAUAAUAUAUAUUAUAUAUAUAUAUAUUAUAUAUAUAUAUAUAUAUAUAUAUAUAUAGAGAGAGAGAGAGAGAGAGAGAGAGAGAGAGAGUUUGGCUACUACAUAUACUUUUAUGAGUGUAAACCCUUUAUACUCAUAAGUUUUCAACCGUUAGAUCUAUUCUUUUGACCAUUUCCAUCCAUUAAAUCAUACUAUUCAAUAAACCACCCACUCAAUCUUAGAGGACCACUAUAAUUCUAUCGCACAUCCAACGGCUG
This 542-nucleotide long non-coding RNA is filed under the name Ananas comosus (pineapple). Its description in RNAcentral is "long non-coding RNA (ACOM_LNC000552)". The record is from RNAcentral. Lineage: Eukaryota; Viridiplantae; Streptophyta; Magnoliopsida; Poales; Bromeliaceae.